GGGAAGUUUGAAAUUGGCGGUUGGCAAGAUGCUGUGUUUGGAGAUGGGGCCCUUGCCCAGUCUGGGGCGCUGUCUUUUGCUGUCCGAGCUCCUGCGGGUAGCUCUGCCCAGACCGCCCGCCCCAGAUAAGGAUGCUAGGAACCAAACUCCAGCACUCUGCAUGAAUGCACUCAACUGAGCCAUCGCCCAUGCCUAACGUAGGCUCACGUUGGGGAAUCAGGAGGCUGUGCGGUACAGCUGAGGCAGCCUGCCUGGCUUGUACCUCUGGGUUGAGCCGCAGCAAGAUCGUGAAGAUCUCACCACAAAGAUAUGUUCAAACAGACUGUCUCUAUGCUGGAACCCUAUGACCAAGCUGACCCUUUAACUCAGAGGCUGCCCCCGCCUCCUGGGUGCUAGGACUUUGGCUAUGACACCAAGUGCCUGGCUCUAAUGCCCAUUUUUAUAACCACCAAAUUGUAAUGUCUCCUACUUUCCUCUAUUCCCAGCACCUAGCACAGAAUAGAUAUUUCUGAGUAUGUUGACUGAAACAAAAAAGACUGUAACAGCAGUAGGCUUGUCUGACUACAAUUUGGCUUUCUCACACAGAUACACUUAGAGCAUCGGUAGGCACACUGCAACCACCAGAGGAGGUUUGAGGAGGUUUGAAAACUACACAACAGGUGGGCCAACGAGAUGGCUGAGAUUGUAAAGGUGUCUGCAGCCAAGCCUGAGGAACCGAGUUCGAUCCUCCACACCCACACGGUGGAAUAGAGACCCGGUUCUCACCAGUCAUCCUCUGAUCUCCAGUGCAUGCCACACUUCCCUGUGCAUGCUUACGCCCCCUGCAAGAUGCAAAUAUAAAUUAAAACGUAAGGCAAAAAGAAUACAUACACAUGGGCCUCCCCUGCUCCUAGCUCACUUCCCCAUUCCAGGAUCUAGACUCGGGGUGUUUUAAAAGCCCCCUUAAGUGGCUCCAGUGUAUAAUGUGCAGCCAUCCUGAGGAAGGGAUGCCAAGAGAACAGAGGGGCUGCUAGCAGGAGAUGCUGCAGUCUGCGAGUGGCCGUGCUAAAGACUGAACUGAGGAAUCUGUGUCUGAUGAACAUGCUCCAUUCCAGACUCACCGUAAAUCCAUAUCCUGGCAAUCUGGCUUCAUCGCCAACCUUAACAGUGGAGCGUCUUCCCUGCAGGGAGAACCCACUCUAAAGAUGGCUCGGUUGCAAAAUUACCUAAAUACUUCGAGCUUCCUAGAUCCUCACCCCACCAACCCCGCUAUGAUGAAAUCAAGGGAAAGGGAUGGACAGGUAAUUUAAGGAAGCAGGAGAUCAGAGUGUAGCUCCGUGAUGCCAGUCAAAGCAGAGCAAACCAGACUCUGGGUCUAACCUUCAUCACCACGGUAAGCGAUGCCAAGCCUUUGAUUCCAGCGCUCUGGAGACCGGGAGACAGGCAGAUUUCUCAGUUCAAGGCCAACCUGAUCUACAGAGGGGGUUCCAGGAUAUAGGUGUCGGAUUCCCCCUGGAACCAGAGUGGACGGGUGGUUGCGAGCUGCCAUCCGGGUGCUGGUAAGAGACCAGCUGGUACUAGCAUCGAUUUCCAAGUUACCCCCCCCCCCGAAACAAAACCCAAACCUAGCUUCAGGGUCUAGGCUCACCCCCAACAAGGCCUGUGUCUCCAGGUUCUCCCCCAACAAACCUGCACCCCCAGGCUACAAGUCCACCCCCUGCCUAAUGACUGCCAAUGCAGAGAGAAGCAGAAAUUACGUUUACGAUACAACUCCAGCACCAGCCGAUUAUGUUAAAGGCCACAGUAACUUCCCAAUUAGAUGCUUGCACACUCAAUCCCCGCUCGAAGGUUACUAUAAAGCUUUGCCCCUUGCAAAUCAGGGUUCCUCAUCACCAAAACCAUCCAGUGUUACAGCCGUGCACUGAGGAACCCCCAGUCAGCUCGAAUUAAAAGGCCCUACUGUGAGCCGAUCGGCUCCUGUCUGGUUUUUGGGAACCACUAACAUUUCCCUGAGACUACACUGGCAACAGAGCCCAGGUCCUCUGCAAGAGCAGUUACUUCUCUGCUGCUGUGAUUAAACACCGAGCCAGAAGCAGCUCACAGGAAGAGCUUAUUUGAGUCUGUGGUUCCAGAGGGAAAAGGACCCACUAUGGCUGGGAGAAAUGGAGCCCAGAGCAUGAAAGAGAGAGCCAGAAAUCAAUCAUGAGAGUGACUCAUAAUGGUGAGAGUCUCUUCACUCUCUCAAAGCCUACCUCCAACAGGGCCACACCUCCUCAUCCUCCCCAAACAGUGCCACCAACUGGGGAACAACUAUUCAAAUGCCUGAGACCACGAAUAUAUUGUGUGCUAGGUACUGGAAUAAACAAAGCGUACAAAGACAGCAA
Rattus norvegicus (Norway rat) is the source of this 2363-nucleotide non-coding RNA. Lineage: Eukaryota; Metazoa; Chordata; Mammalia; Rodentia; Muridae. The record is from RefSeq and is a predicted model, not a curated record.